AUGCUGCAAAUGUUCAUUUACAGAGGGAUGGCCAUGGCCAAGCCCCGGAGGCAGCAGCAUCUGAGCCCACAGCAGCUUCCCCCUCCAUGUAUGGGCAGAAGUGCGGACAGGAGGAAGGAGGGCAGUCUGAGUGCUAUCCAGUCCUCCCACAGAGAAGGAGAGACAGAAAAAAAGAAAGAGAAAGAUGUUCCAUCCACUGGUUCACUCUCCAAAUGGCCGCCAAUGGCCAAGGCUUGGCCAGGAGCCAGGAGCGUCACCCGGGUCUCCCACGUGGGUGUAGUGGUCCAAGCAUUGUGCCAUCUUCUGUUGCUUUCCCAGGUGCAUUGGCAGGGAGCUGGAUUCGAAGGGGAGCAGCUGGGAUUCAAGCUGGUGUUCAUACGGGAUGCUGAUGUCACAGACAACAGCUUAACCCACUGUGCCACGCACUGGCCCCCGGCUCAGACUCUUAAUAGGAAAGCUGACUCGGUGCCAAGCGGGUCCUGGAACGUGAGACAUGAAAAUGAUGACAUCAAGCCCCUGGGUUUCCUAGCAAGCCGGCGGAAACCCCGCACUCCUGGAAUUUAGAUCCAGGGAACUCUGGAGAGCAUGCGGCUGUCACCCUAGCUUCAACACACACAGCAGCACCCAGCCCAUCUAAAGACAGUGCCUCUACUCCUUAAAAGGCUACUCACGGCUUCCUCCCUGGCAACACUCCCUCUUCUGGGCCCAGGGCAUCCUCGGCCACAUGAUGGCAACUCCCGGACCAUGCUGGGCGGCCAGGGAGGGAGGCGGUAAGGGCUAGGGUCUCUGCUCUCACUCCAUCACGCCUAUCUGGCUUGAUCACACGGAGAAGGGAGAACCAGAUCAGAAACAGUACUGCAGACAGAAGCAAAACACCCAACAAAAAUCCCCAUCUCAUUUCUGCAAAUUUUAGCUCAGAUAAAACAGAAUACUUGCUUCUAUUUGCCCAUAUUUAUCUUUCAGUAAGAUUUAUUUAUUGUUCCAAAGGCAGAGUGAUGAGAAACAAGGGGAGAGACAGAGACAGCCAGAGAGGCAGGGAAGGAAAAGAAAGGGAGAGAAAUCUUUUAUCUACUGGUUCACUCUCCAAAUGCCUGCAACAGCUGGGGCUGGGCCAGAUCAAAGCCAGGGUCAGGAACUCCAACUGGACCUCCCACAUGGGGAACAGGCACCCAAGCACUUGAGCCGUCCUCGCUGCUUCCCAGGGUACAUCAGCAGGAAGCUGGAACAGAAGUGGAGUGGUGGGGACUCCCCUACAGGAUGCUGGUGUUGCAAGCAGCAGCUUAAGCCACUGCCCCACGUUGGCCACCCCACCUUUAUUUGACCUCUAACGUGAAAAUGUUCACAGAGUCUAGCCUUCACUAUGUGGCGGCCACUUGGUGACUUAAUUCCCUACUAUAAGUACGAUUAUAAGCUGAAAACUUCUCAGCUCUACACGUCAGUCGUUGGGAGGCAGCCCAAUUCUGCAGAUUAGUAAGCACCUACUGUAUGCACAGCACAACGUCAAAUGCUGGGGGCACAGCAGCAGACAGGGUGGUCUGCAGGUGCUCCUGUGGAACAGGCAGCUCCCAGAAUCAGACAGAAAGACUUGGGGUGUGGGGAAGCAGGGGAGGGUCUGCCAGGGGAAAAGGGGAAUGCUGGGGAGGCAGGGAGGCCUAGGAAGCCUUCCACAGAGACCCAAGACGUGAAGUGAGCCACACGUCCUUUGCUGUCAGCACCACGUCCAGCAAGGUGUGGAGUGGGGGAGCCUCUGGCAGGCGAGACCUGUGAGCACGUGGGCUUCCCGCUCUACAUGAGCCAGCUCUCAGUGUCUACCCAGUCACCCGUAAACUCUUCGAGCUGGGGCUUAAUCUACACCUCACAGCAUCUGUCCACAGGACGCCCGAGAGUCUUCCGGUUAUGCUGUGCCAAGAACCCAAGUAGGCAGCACAGGCAGAAGUCCCCCCAGCAGGCCCUGAUUGGUUGUUUGGUUUGGCAAUGGGCAUGUCUUAGCAAAAACGUGCAGGAGCUCACUAACUUUGCCACUGCCUAUAAGGACAGCUACCUAGGUUUUUUUUUUUUUUGACAGGCAGAGUGGACAGUGAGAGAGAGAGACAGAGAGAAAGGUCUUCCUUUGCCUUUGGUUCACCCUCCAAUGGCCGCGCUGAUCUGAUGGCAGGAGCAGGUACUUCUCCUGGUCUCCCAUGGGGUGCAGGGCCCAAGCACUUGGGCCAUCCUCCACUGCACUCCCGGGCCACAGCAGAAAGCUGGCCUGGAAGAGGGGCAACCGGGACAGAAUCCGGCACCCCAACCGGGACUAGAACCUGGUGUGCCGGCGCCACUAGGUGGAGGAUUAACCUAUUGAGCCGCGGCGCCAGCCAGCUACCUAGGUUUAAAACAGUGAGUUUUAAACUUAUUUUGUUUAAAAAAAAAAUGACUAUUUAUCUUUUCAUCUACUUGAAAGGCUAAGCCAGAGAGAAGCAGAGAGAGAGAUUGAUCCAUCUUCCAUCUGCUGGUUCACUCCCCAAAUGCCAGCCACAGCCUGGAAUGAGUCAGACUGAACCCUAGGAACCUGGAACUCCAUCUGGGUCUCCCACAUGGGUGGCAGGUGUCCAAGCACUUGGGCCAUCAUCUGAUGCCUCCCAAGUGCAUUAGCAGGAAGCUGGAUGAGAAGUGGAACAGCCAUUGCCAACAACGGGUAAUGAGAGAAGUACCAGAAUUUUCAAAGAAAAAAAAGCAAAGAAAUAAGAUGGGCAACAAUCUCUUUUAACCUAUUUCCACAAAACUCUAGGACCAAGAAUUUUCCAAGCUUGAUAAUAAAACUUCCCGAUGUAUUACA
This is a long non-coding RNA of Oryctolagus cuniculus (rabbit), 2815 nucleotides long. NCBI's taxonomy places the organism in Eukaryota, Metazoa, Chordata, Mammalia, Lagomorpha, Leporidae. The record is from Ensembl.